Molecule: ribosomal RNA, 278 nt
Filed under: uncultured bacterium
Lineage: Bacteria
Description: partial 16S ribosomal RNA
Rfam family: Bacterial small subunit ribosomal RNA
Source: RNAcentral
UGCCAGCCGCCGCGGUAAUACGAAGGGGGCUAGCGUUGUUCGGAAUUACUGGGCGUAAAGCGCACGUAGGCGGACUUUAAGUCAGAUGUGAAAUCCCAAGGCUCAACCUUGGAACUGCAUUUGAAACUGGGAGUCUAGAGAUCAGGAGAGGUUAGUGGAAUACCGAGUGUAGAGGUGAAAUCCGUAGAUAUUCGGAGGAACACCAGUGGCGAAGGCGGCUUUCUGGACCAAUACUGACGCUGAGAUGCGAAAGCGUGGGGAGCGAACAGGAUUAGAUA